This 354-nucleotide transfer-messenger RNA is filed under the name Syntrophaceae bacterium. It matches the Rfam family "transfer-messenger RNA". From Rfam's summary of the family: Bacterial tmRNA, also known as 10Sa RNA or SsrA, is named for its dual tRNA and mRNA-like properties. Lineage: Bacteria; Pseudomonadati; Thermodesulfobacteriota; Syntrophia; Syntrophales; Syntrophaceae. RNAcentral also lists the same sequence under 1 other name. The record is from RNAcentral.
GGGGGCGUCACGGUUUCGACGGGGAUCGUUGAAGCUAUCAGAAGCGUGCCGAGGUUCCUGCAGGCCUCGUUAAACAGGCAGGAAAACACUUAGUCGCCAACAACUACGACUACGCACUGGCCGCAUAGGCCAGCGUCCUCCCGAGUUCGCCUGCCGGGUCGGAUGAGGGCGUCAUAAAGGCAGGAUAACCGACUUCCUCUGCCUGGGGGGAAGGGGGCGAAAAUCUAAACAGGCUAGCCCGCACCCAUCCUGCCUCUGGGAGGGGUGACGGUCGAAACCAAAUCAGAGGAUGCGCACGGAGAAACUGAAGUGGAAGGUUUCCGGACGCGGGUUCGACUCCCGCCGCCUCCACCA